GGCUGCCCUGGCCACCCUCCUGGGAGCUGUCCUCAGCUUCACCUGCAUCCCCGCCAGCACUAAAGGGGCCAAAACUGACGCCCAGGCUCCACUGCCAGGCGGCCCCCGGGCCAGUGUGUUCGACCUGAAGGCCAUCGCCUCCCUGCUGCGGCUGCCAGACGUCCCGAGGAUCUUCCUGGUGAAGGUGGCCUCCAACUUCCCCACAGGGCUCUUCAUGGUCAUGUUCUCCAUCAUCUCCAUGGACUUCUUCCAGCUGGAGGCCGCCCAAGCUGGCUACCUCAUGUCCUUCUUCGGGCUCCUCCAGAUGGAAUUUGGGAGAGUGACUGGUCCCCUGCAGAGGUGCUGCAGGCUGGGCCUGCCUCAUGGGCAGAUACUGAGCCCAGGGGCUCCUCCAGCCGGGGCCACCCCUGCACUCCCAGGCGCGUUGGCCCAGCGUGCCCUGCUCAGUGGAGGAGCUGAGAUGACCAGAUAGGGAGCCUCGCCCUGGCCUGGGAGCAGCCUGUCCCACCGAGUCCAUCCCUGGGAGCAGCCUACGGCCGAGCCUGUCCCACCGAG
This 555-nucleotide small RNA is filed under the name Pongo abelii (Sumatran orangutan). RNAcentral describes it as "processed transcript". The record is from RNAcentral. Lineage: Eukaryota; Metazoa; Chordata; Mammalia; Primates; Hominidae.